This 32-nucleotide ribosomal RNA is filed under the name Platanus kerrii. The record is from RNAcentral. Lineage: Eukaryota; Viridiplantae; Streptophyta; Magnoliopsida; Proteales; Platanaceae.
GGGUGCGAUCAUACCUGCACUGAUGCACCGGA